CACCCGUUCCCAUACCGAACACGGAAGUUAAGCUCUUUAGCGCCGAUGGUAGUUGGGGAUUCCCCCUGCGAGAGUAGGACGUCGCUUCGC
RNAcentral lists this ribosomal RNA (90 nucleotides) under Lysinibacillus sp. The record is from RNAcentral. Lineage: Bacteria; Bacillati; Bacillota; Bacilli; Caryophanales; Bacillaceae.